ACAAACCAGUUGUAGCAAUGCAUCCGGGGUAGAGGGAAGCAAAUGUUAUGCCGGUUUCCUCGUGAUAUCGCUUGUGGAACUCUUGCAUAGUGAGCAUGUUGCAUACUUUGCUGUCCUUGUAUGCCUUGGCCCCAUCAAACUCACCACCGUCGAUCAUUGAAGAGCUGUUUAGGCCGUUUAGUCCUCCAGCGAGUCCUCUAAGGUCACCAAGGUUGGCCUUAGGAGGCACAUUUCCAGCCAAGGUAUUUGUGUUCC
RNAcentral lists this long non-coding RNA (255 nucleotides) under Cucumis sativus (cucumber). RNAcentral's name for it is "long non-coding RNA (CSAT_LNC001703)". The record is from RNAcentral. Lineage: Eukaryota; Viridiplantae; Streptophyta; Magnoliopsida; Cucurbitales; Cucurbitaceae.